RNAcentral lists this unclassified non-coding RNA (327 nucleotides) under soil metagenome. RNAcentral describes it as "partial contains 5.8S ribosomal RNA, internal transcribed spacer 2, and large subunit ribosomal RNA". The stretch from base 1 to 120 matches the Rfam family "5.8S ribosomal RNA", at positions 35 to 154 of the family's 154-position model. The record is from RNAcentral.
GAUGAAGAACGCAGCGAAAUGCGAUAAGUAAUGUGAAUUGCAGAAUUCAGUGAAUCAUCGAAUCUUUGAACGCACAUUGCGCCCCUUGGUAUUCCGAUGGGCAUGCCUGUUCGAGCGUCAUUAUCACCCCUCAAGCUUUGCUUGGUGUUGGGGCCUGCUGUAAUAGGCAGCCCUUAAAAUCAGUGGCGGUGCUUCAAGGCUCUAAGCGUAGUAAUUCUCCUCGCUAUAGUGUCUAGUGGUUGCCAGCCAGAACCCCCCAUUUUUUAUGAUUGACCUCGGAUCAGGUAGGGAUACCCGCUGAACUUAAGCAUAUCAAUAAGCGGAGGA